Molecule: ribosomal RNA, 213 nt
Filed under: Apteronotus albifrons (black ghost)
Lineage: Eukaryota; Metazoa; Chordata; Actinopteri; Gymnotiformes; Apteronotidae
Description: partial 18S ribosomal RNA
Rfam family: Eukaryotic small subunit ribosomal RNA (bases 60-213)
Source: RNAcentral
ACCGCCUGUCCCAGACCCUCCGUCCCGGCGCCCCCCGGAUGCCCUUGGCUGGGUGUCGGUCGGGGUCCGGAGCGUUUACUUUGAAAAAAUUAGAGUGUUCAAAGCGGGCCACUACUCGCCUGAAUACCUGAGCUAGGAAUAAUGGAAUAGGACUCCGGUUCUAUUUUGUGGGUUUCCGGAACCAGGGCCAUGAUUAAGAGGGACGCGCGGGGG